CCUACGGGAGGCUGCAGUGGGGAAUAUUGCACAAUGGGCGCAAGCCUGAUGCAGCCAUGCCGCGUGUGUGAAGAAGGCCUUCGGGUUGUAAAGCACUUUCAGCGGGGAGGAAGGCGUUAAGGUUAAUAACCUUGUCGAUUGACGUUACCCGCAGAAGAAGCACCGGCUAACUCCGUGCCAGCAGCCGCGGUAAUACGGAGGGUGCAAGCGUUAAUCGGAAUUACUGGGCGUAAAGCGCACGCAGGCGGUCUGUCAAGUCGGAUGUGAAAUCCCCGGGCUCAACCUGGGAACUGCAUUCGAAACUGGCAUGCUAGAGUCUUGUAGAGGGGGGUAGAAUUCCAGGUGUAGCGGUGAAAUGCGUAGAGAUCUGGAGGAAUACCGGUGGCGAAGGCGGCCCCCUGGACAAAGACUGACGCUCAGGUGCGAAAGCGUGGGGAGCAAACAGGAUUAGAUACCCCGGUAGUC
Molecule: ribosomal RNA, 465 nt
Filed under: uncultured Klebsiella sp.
Lineage: Bacteria; Pseudomonadati; Pseudomonadota; Gammaproteobacteria; Enterobacterales; Enterobacteriaceae
Description: bacterial SSU rRNA
Rfam family: Bacterial small subunit ribosomal RNA
Source: RNAcentral